UUUCUCCCCUCAACCUCAUCAUAAAUCCUAGCCACCUAAAUCUCUAUCUCUCAUGUCACCUUCGAUCAAAUCACCGUCGUUCAACUCAUUAUCGGUGACUGCUCUUAGACUGAUAAGUCAUAUUUUUUUUAUCACUGUAGCCUAUUAUUUUUGGGGGUCGAUUGUCUCCGUGAGCCAGAGGGCGGUGGAGUUGGAUGGGGCUGCAUUGGGGUGC
RNAcentral lists this long non-coding RNA (214 nucleotides) under Elaeis guineensis (African oil palm). Its description in RNAcentral is "long non-coding RNA (EGUI_LNC020599)". Lineage: Eukaryota; Viridiplantae; Streptophyta; Magnoliopsida; Arecales; Arecaceae. The record is from RNAcentral.